UACGGGAGGCAGCAGUGGGGAAUAUUGCACAAUGGGCGCAAGCCUGAUGCAGCCAUGCCGCGUGUAUGAAGAAGGCCUUCGGGUUGUAAAGUACUUUUCAGUCGUGAGGAAGGUGUUAAGGUUAAUAACCUUAGCAAUUGACGUUAGCGACAGAAGAAGCACCGGCUAACUCCGUGCCAGCAGCCGCGGUAAUACGGAGGGUGCGAGCGUUAAUCGGAAUUACUGGGCGUAAAGGGCACGCAGGCGGUUAAUUAAGUUGGAUGUGAAAUCCCCGGGCUUAACCUGGGAAUGGCAUUCAAGACUGGUUAGCUAGAGUCUUGUAGAGGGGGUAGAAUUCCAUGUGUAGCGGUGAAAUGCGUAGAGAUGUGGAGGAAUACCGGUGGCGAAGGCGGCCCCUGGGACAAAGGACUGACGCUCAUGUGCGAAAGCGUGGGGAGCAAACAGGGAUUAGAUACC
Molecule: ribosomal RNA, 456 nt
Filed under: uncultured bacterium
Lineage: Bacteria
Description: bacterial SSU rRNA
Rfam family: Bacterial small subunit ribosomal RNA
Source: RNAcentral